AGAGCGCAGGGAGGAUGCCUUGGCAUCAGGAGCCGAAGAAGGACGUGGUAAGCUGCGAAAAGCUACGGGGAUUGGCAAGCACGAUAUGAUCCGUAGAUAUCCGAAUGGAGCAAUCCACAUGGAGUCAAGUCCAUGUAUCAUAUACUGAAUAAAUAGGUAUAUGAGGGGAACCGCCCGAACUGAAACAUCUAAGUAGGGCGAGGAAAAGAAAUCAACCGAGAUUCUGUGAGUAGUGGCGAGCGAAAGCGGAAGAGGCUAAACCGAGAGGAGCAAUCCUUUCGGGGUUUAGGACUGCAUUUAGUACAAUGAUUGUUAACCGAACAGCAUGGGAAGGCUGAUCAAAGAAGGUGAGAAUCCUGUAGGUGAAAACGAAAGUUGACGAGCAGUAUCCAAAGUACCGCGGGGCACGUGAAAUCCCGUGGGAAGAUGGGGGGACCAUCCUCCAAGCCUAAAUACUACCUGAUGACCGAUAGCGAAUAGUACUGUGAAGGAAAGGUGAAAAGCACCCCGGGAGGGGAGUGAAAGAGAACCUGAAACCCUGUGCUUACAAGCACUUAGAGCACGUCAAAGUGUGAUAAGGUACCUAUUGUAGAAUGGUCCGGCGAGUUAUUGUAUGCAGCGAGGUUAAGUAGUUCAGCUACGGAGCCGAAGUGAGAGCGAGUGUUAACAGCACGUUCAGUUGCAUGCAAUAGACCCGAAACCGGGUGACCUAUCCAUGUCCAGGAUGAAGUGAGGGUAAAACCUCAUGGAGGUCCGAACCCACUCCCGUUGAAAUGGUAGGGGAUGAGGUGUGGAUAGCGGAGAAAUUCCAAUCGAACCCGGAUAUAGCUGGUUCUCCCCGAAAUAGUUUUAGGACUAGCCUCGUGAUUAAGAUUAUCGGAGGUAAAGCACUGAAUGGCCUAGGGGUCGAGAGAUUACCGAAGCCUAUCAAACUCUGAAUGCCGAAUAAUCAUGCACGGGAGUCAGACUGUGUGAGAUAAGUUUCAUAGUCGAAAGGGAAACAGCCCAGACCUACAGCUAAGGUCCCAAAGUACGUUUAAGUGGAAAACGAUGUGAAAUUGCGUAGACAACCAGGAUGUUGGCUUAGAAGCAGCCAUACAUUAAAAGAGUGCGUAAUAGCUCACUGGUCGAGUGACUUUGCGCGGAAAAUUUAACGGGGCUAAAACGUACACCGAAGCUUAGGCUUGUCACAAUGUGACAGGGGUAGGGGAGCGUUGAAUGAGGGGUGAAGUCGUAGCGAAAGCGACGGUGGACUUCAUUCAAGUGAGAAUGCCGGAAUGAGUAGCGAGAAUUAUGUGAGAAUCAUAAUGGCCGAAAGCCUAAGGUUUUUGGAGGAAGGUUCGUCCGCUCCAAGUAAGUCGGAAGCUAAGGUGAGGCUGAAAAGCGUAGCCGAUGCACAAACGGUUGAAAUUCCGUUACCACAGAAAGAUUUAAACUAAGGGACACUUUUGAAGAGCUGAUGCCGGGUGUUGGUUACCCCGGUCGUAAGGGAACGAAAUUAAGUAGUGAAGUCAGCGUGGAUGAAGGCGAGAAAAGCUUAGUGUAUAUCUUAUGUGUCCGUACCGCAAACCGACACAGGUAGGUAGGAAGAGAAUUCUAAGGCCAACGGGAGAAGGGUAGUUAAGGAACUCGGCAAAAUGUCCCCGUAACUUCGGAAUAAGGGGAGGUUUCUACGGAAACCCGCAGAGAAUAGUCCCAGGCAACUGUUUAUCAAAAACACAGCUCUAUGCUAAAUCGAAAGAUGACGUAUAUGGGGUGACGCCUGCCCGGUGCCGGAAGGUUAAGAGGAGGAGUGAGAGCCCUGAAUCGAAGCCCCGGUAAACGGCGGCCGUAACUAUAACGGUCCUAAGGUAGCGAAAUUCCUUGUCAGGUAAGUUCUGACCCGCACGAAUGGCGUAAUGAUCUGGGCACUGUCUCAACAGCCCGCCCGGCGAAAUUGUAGUACCGGUGAAGAUGCCGGUUACCCGCGACUAGACGGAAAGACCCCAUGGAGCUUUACUGUAGCUUAAUAUUGGAUUUCGGCAUUUCAUGUACAGGAUAGGUGGGAGACUAGGAAACAUAGGCGUCAGCUUAUGCGGAGUCGUCCUUGGGAUACCACUCUUGGAGUGCUGAAAUUCUAACCUGCAGCCCUGAAUCGGGUUGGGGGACAUUGUUAGGUGGGCAGUUUGACUGGGGCGGUCGCCUCCAAAAAGGUAACGGAGGCGCUCAAAGGUU
Molecule: ribosomal RNA, 2214 nt
Filed under: human metagenome
Description: bacterial LSU rRNA
Rfam family: Bacterial large subunit ribosomal RNA
Source: RNAcentral